This 347-nucleotide unclassified non-coding RNA is filed under the name uncultured Glomus. Its description in RNAcentral is "SSU rRNA". It matches the Rfam family "Eukaryotic small subunit ribosomal RNA", at positions 569 to 923 of the family's 1831-position model. Lineage: Eukaryota; Fungi; Glomeromycota; Glomeromycetes; Glomerales; Glomeraceae. The record is from RNAcentral.
AGCAGCCGCGGUAAUUCCAGCUCCAAUAGCGUAUAUUAAAGUUGUUGCAGUUAAAAGCUCAUAGUUGAAUUUCGGGAUCAAUUUAUCGGUCGUGCCAAUGGUAUGAACUGGUACAAUUGGUUUCUCCCUUCUGACGAAGCAUGAUGCCAUUAAUUUGGUGUCGUGGGGAAUCAGGACUGUUACUUUGAAAAAUUGAGUGUUUAAAGCAAGCAUUAGCUUGAAUACAUUAGCAUGGAAUAAUGAAAUAGGACGUUUGAUCCUAUUUCGUUGGUUUCUAGGAUCGACGUAAUGAUUAAUAGGGAUAGUUGGGGGCAUUAGUAUUCAAUUGUCAGAGGUGAAAUUCUUGG